This 72-nucleotide transfer RNA is filed under the name Sphaerodactylus townsendi. RNAcentral describes it as "tRNA-Val". It matches the Rfam family "tRNA". From Rfam's summary of the family: Transfer RNA (tRNA) molecules are approximately 80 nucleotides in length. Their secondary structure includes four short double-helical elements and three loops (D, anti-codon, and T loops). The record is from RNAcentral. Lineage: Eukaryota; Metazoa; Chordata; Lepidosauria; Squamata; Sphaerodactylidae.
GGGGCUGGGCCUCAGUGGUAGAGCAUCUGCUUCACAUGCAGAAGGUCAUGGGUUCAAUCCCUAGCAUCUCCA